RNAcentral lists this RNase P RNA (381 nucleotides) under Bacteroidales bacterium. RNAcentral describes it as "RNase P RNA component class A". It matches the Rfam family "Bacterial RNase P class A". Rfam says of the family: Ribonuclease P (RNase P) is a ubiquitous endoribonuclease, found in archaea, bacteria and eukarya as well as chloroplasts and mitochondria. Its best characterised activity is the generation of mature 5'-ends of tRNAs by cleaving the 5'-leader elements of precursor-tRNAs. Cellular RNase Ps are ribonucleoproteins. Lineage: Bacteria; Pseudomonadati; Bacteroidota; Bacteroidia; Bacteroidales. The record is from RNAcentral.
UUGGCAGGCCGGUCCGUCGCCCCUGGUUCAACGACCGGGAGAGGAAAGUCCGGGCAACAGAGAGCUCCAUCCUUCCUAACGGGAAGAUAUCCGAAAGGGUAUAGCAGUGUAACAGAAAAUAACAGCCACGCCUCAGGGCGUGGAAUUGGUGAAAAGGUGAGGUAAAGGCUCACCGGUCCCGGUGGCGACACCGGGAGCCGUACACCUGAUGGGUUGAAAGACCAUGUAUACCGGCGUCUGAGGGCUGCUCGCCCGAGCCGGGGGGUAGGUCGUACGAGUCCGCAGGCGACUGCGGGACCAGAUAAAUGACGGAACAGAUGCAUAAUCCUCUUGCAGGAUACCGCAUCACGACAGAACCCGGCUUACAGGCCUGCCUUCGAA